Molecule: ribosomal RNA, 468 nt
Filed under: uncultured bacterium
Lineage: Bacteria
Description: partial 16S ribosomal RNA
Rfam family: Bacterial small subunit ribosomal RNA
Source: RNAcentral
GACGAACGCUGGCGGCGUGCUUAACACAUGCAAGUCGAACGGAAAGGCCCUGCUUUUGUGGGGUGCUCGAGUGGCGAACGGGUGAGUAACACGUGAGUAACCUGCCCUUGACUUUGGGAUAACUUCAGGAAACUGGGGCUAAUACCGGAUAGGAGCUCCUGCUGCAUGGUGGGGGUUGGAAAGUUUCGGCGGUUGGGGAUGGACUCGCGGCUUAUCAGCUUGUUGGUGGGGUAGUGGCUUACCAAGGCUUUGACGGGUAGCCGGCCUGAGAGGGUGACCGGCCACAUUGGGACUGAGAUACGGCCCAGACUCCUACGGGAGGCAGCAGUGGGGAAUAUUGCACAAUGGGCCGAAGCCUGAUGCAGCAACGCCGCGUGCGGGAUGACGGCCUUCGGGUUGUAAACCGCUUUCGCCUGUGACGAAGCGUGAGUGACGGUAAUGGGUAAAGAAGCACCGGCUAACUACGUG